UACGUAGGGUGCAAGCGUUAUCCGGAAUUAUUGGGCGUAAAGAGCUCGUAGGCGGUUUGUCACGUCUGCUGUGAAAACUGGAGGCUCAACCUCCAGCCUGCAGUGGGUACGGGCAGACUAGAGUGCGGUAGGGGAGAUUGGAAUUCCUGGUGUAGCGGUGGAAUGCGCAGAUAUCAGGAGGAACACCGAUGGCGAAGGCAGAUCGCUGGGCCGUAACUGACGCUGAGGAGCGAAAGCAUGGGGAGCGAACAGG
This 253-nucleotide ribosomal RNA is filed under the name uncultured bacterium. RNAcentral describes it as "partial 16S ribosomal RNA". It matches the Rfam family "Bacterial small subunit ribosomal RNA", at positions 524 to 776 of the family's 1533-position model. The record is from RNAcentral.